AAAAGGAUUUGUAGAUACUUAUGAAUACUUUUGUAUACAUAAUACAAAAAGAAUGCUCUGAAAUUAUAGGAAGUACAAGAAACGAGUGAAUCUGAAGUUUUCAUAAAAAAAAGUAAAUAAUUCAUAUGUUUCUAUGGGAACACUACUCACUGUGCAACAUUUCUCACUUCUGAAAGCGAAAAGUGCAACUUUGAAGAAACAUGCUACAUUCCUUUCUGUACAAGAAAAAUCAACACUGCUACCAUUAUCUAAGAGAGAGAUUGCUGAAAGGUAUGAUGAUGUCAUCUAUCCCAUCUAAGUAACUACUGAAUUGACAGUAUAAAAGCAGAGAGGAGCUGUCACUCA
Argiope bruennichi is the source of this 345-nucleotide long non-coding RNA. RefSeq lists it as uncharacterized. The record is from RefSeq and is a predicted model, not a curated record. NCBI's taxonomy places the organism in Eukaryota, Metazoa, Arthropoda, Arachnida, Araneae, Araneidae. The transcript has 3 exons.